AUCAGUUGCUGUAUAGGUCUCGAACUGAAAAAUUCUUCAUCCAUUAUCAAGUGAAGGAAUGAAAAAUUCUGACGGCAAUUCAAAUUUAAUGAUCAAUUCAGUUUAACAUCAUGGAAGUUAACCGUGCAACAAAAGUUUUGACGAAGUCACAAAAAAAAACACGAUAUAAUUUCUCCAAUCAAUAUUUGUCUAUGGGUUCGAGCACAGUUGUCUUUAUGGGACUCAACAAAAUCAAUGGUGUUGACAUGUGGGGUAUGAUCAGUCAAUACGAUGGAUGCGCCUUUCGUGCAGUUCCUACGAACUUGAAAACGGAUCAGUAUGUCUCCUUCUUGGAUGAUGUAAUUUUGCCAAUGUGGAAAAAUAAUAAAGAUUUGGUGUUUAUGCAUGACAAAAGACAAACACAUUUAAGUCGUUUGUGGCGUAUUAUUCAUCCUGAAGUGAAAUUUGUAUAUUGGCCAGAUAUAAUGAUCGAUCAAAAUCCAUUUAAAAAAAUUUGGUCAAACGUUAAUGCCAAACUUCAAUAUGAGCUUCAUGAUUUAAAAGAACUCUACGUCUGCUGGGAACAAAUGAGAGUAAACUUCGACAAUUUUCACGGAUUGUAUGAAGAUCUACAAAUUAAAUUGGAAGCAAUUAAGACAACUUUUGGCGAUUAUGUCGAUAUAUAAAAAAGUAUUUUAUAUCCAAUGAUAUAUGGAUUCUUCUUUCUUGUACAAUUUGUAUUGACUUGAA
Bradysia coprophila is the source of this 729-nucleotide long non-coding RNA. RefSeq lists it as uncharacterized. NCBI's taxonomy places the organism in Eukaryota, Metazoa, Arthropoda, Insecta, Diptera, Sciaridae. The record is from RefSeq and is a predicted model, not a curated record.